RNAcentral lists this ribosomal RNA (262 nucleotides) under uncultured bacterium. RNAcentral's name for it is "partial 16S ribosomal RNA". It matches the Rfam family "Bacterial small subunit ribosomal RNA", at positions 511 to 772 of the family's 1533-position model. The record is from RNAcentral.
GCAGCCGCGGUAAUACGGGGGGUGCAAGCGUUGCUCGGAAUCACUGGGCGUAAAGGGUCCGUAGGCGGGACAAUAAGUCAGUGGUGAAAGUCUGCAGCUUAACUGUAGAAUUGCCGUUGAAACUGUUGUUCUUGAGUAAUUAUGAAGUGGUUAGAAUAUGUAGUGUAGCGGUGAAAUGCAUAGAUAUUACAUAGAAUACCGAUUGCGAAGGCAGAUCACUAAUAAUUCACUGACGCUGAUGGACGAAAGCGUAGGUAGCGAA